This is a long non-coding RNA of Megalops cyprinoides (Indo-Pacific tarpon), 262 nucleotides long. RefSeq lists it as uncharacterized. NCBI's taxonomy places the organism in Eukaryota, Metazoa, Chordata, Actinopteri, Elopiformes, Megalopidae. The transcript has 2 exons. The record is from RefSeq and is a predicted model, not a curated record.
GAAAAAUCAAUUAUCAGCUACAAGAGAACACAUCCAGGCUGUUCUCAAGAUGGCAUGAUAGUUACCAAUAAACGUGGGAUGGAGUUGUGCAUUAAUCCAUCUGGAGAGCAGGCCCAGCGUAUAAUGAAAAGGCUGGAAUCUUCAUCCAUAUUGUUGGUGGACAUAAGUUAGAUGAGAAAUAUCUCAAGACCAGAAAGUAAAAAUGGAUAAGGAGAGAGGUUGAUGAAAUGACAUUGGAAUGAAAUAAAAAAAUUGUCAUUUA